CAGAAUUUUAACAUUUAAUUCAUCAGUAUCAAAGGUCUUACCAAACCCAGUCAAGUGGUUCACUAUGUGAGUGAAACGCUUUUGGACAUCAAAAAUUGUUUCUCCAGGUUGCAUUCUGAACAUCUCAUACUCCUGGAUGAGAGUGUUUUUCCUUGCGUGUUUCACAUCCUUUGUUCCUUCAUGUGUGACUCUGAGAACUUCCC
Molecule: long non-coding RNA, 203 nt
Filed under: Vigna radiata
Lineage: Eukaryota; Viridiplantae; Streptophyta; Magnoliopsida; Fabales; Fabaceae
Description: long non-coding RNA (VRAD_LNC010252)
Source: RNAcentral